UCUUCUGCCUUUGUGUGCUUUCUCUCUCUCCUGCUUCCAAGUCAAGAUGUGCUGGCUUCUCCUUUGCCCUUCUGUCAUUAUUGUAAGUUUCAUGAGGCCUCGGAGCCACGCUUCCUGUAUAGCCUGCAGAACUGUGAUCAUUCCACUCUUCUGCUAAUGUCAUGUUCUGGUUCAGGGAGUCCUCCAGGGAUGGCCAUACCUUUCUCUCCAAGAGCUUUGGCGAACUCUACUCCAAUCUGAACAGGUUACUCAAUGUGAAGAUGACAACAAGGGUGAAGACUUUAAUGAUGAUCCACUUCCACUUAAAAAAUAAUAAAUAUAUUUUCUC
This 328-nucleotide long non-coding RNA is filed under the name Homo sapiens (human). Its description in RNAcentral is "HSALNT0394040". Lineage: Eukaryota; Metazoa; Chordata; Mammalia; Primates; Hominidae. The record is from RNAcentral.